This 583-nucleotide ribosomal RNA is filed under the name uncultured bacterium. Its description in RNAcentral is "partial 16S ribosomal RNA". It matches the Rfam family "Bacterial small subunit ribosomal RNA", at positions 355 to 926 of the family's 1533-position model. The record is from RNAcentral.
UGGGGAAUAUUGCACAAUGGGCGCAAGCCUGAUGCAGCCAUGCCGCGUGUGUGAAGAAGGCCUUCGGGUUGUAAAGCACUUUCAGCGAGGAGGAAGGUGGUGAACUUAAUACGUUCAUCAAUUGACGUUACUCGCAGAAGAAGCACCGGCUAACUCCGUGCCAGCAGCCGCGGUAAUACGGAGGGUGCAAGCGUUAAUCGGAAUUACUGGGCGUAAAGCGCACGCAGGCGGUUUGUUAAGUCAGAUGUGAAAUCCCCGGGCUCAACCUGGGAACUGCAUUUGAAACUGGCAAGCUAGAGUCUCGUAGAGGGGGGUAGAAUUCCAGGUGUAGCGGUGAAAUGCGUAGAGAUCUGGAGGAAUACCGGUGGCGAAGGCGGCCCCCUGGACGAAGACUGACGCUCAGGUGCGAAAGCGUGGGGAGCAAAACAGGAUUAGAUACCCCUGGUAGUCCACGCUGUAAAACGAUGUCGAUUUUGGAGGUUGUGCCCUUGAGGCGUGGCUUCCGGAGCUAACGCGUUAAAUCGACCGCCUGGGGAGUACGGCCGCAAGGUUAAAACUUAAAGGAAUUGACGGGGUCUAGCUG